AGGGAGCUGGAGGAAACGAGUGGUAUGGAUCACACACCUGAGGGUAGUUUUACUAAUGAGUGUUCUCUGUGGCAGUGAGAAGCAAAGAUGAAAAUACAAAGGGAUCGAAGCCAAGAGAGAGAGUGAGAGAGAAAGAGAUGGAAAUACAAAGCAGUGUGUAUGACUGUGUGUCUAUGUGCUUAAAACACUGAGAAAUAUUUGGCUCCUGCGGACUUCACCCUCCUCCUGAAGAUAAAGAUCCAGUUUAAAUCGCAGAAGGCACCUGACACACUUAGAAAAGAAGACUUCCAGGACACAUUCCAGAAGUGGCAGGAACGCUGGGAGCGCUGUAUUACUAUGCAAUGGGGACUAUUUUAAACGUGAUGGUAUAAAAACGUAGAUAAAUAAAAAACUUUCUUGUAAACAGAA
This is a long non-coding RNA of Silurus meridionalis, 408 nucleotides long. RefSeq lists it as uncharacterized. The record is from RefSeq and is a predicted model, not a curated record. NCBI's taxonomy places the organism in Eukaryota, Metazoa, Chordata, Actinopteri, Siluriformes, Siluridae. The transcript is spliced from 2 exons.